This 406-nucleotide ribosomal RNA is filed under the name uncultured bacterium. RNAcentral describes it as "partial 16S ribosomal RNA". It matches the Rfam family "Bacterial small subunit ribosomal RNA", at positions 30 to 526 of the family's 1533-position model. The record is from RNAcentral.
AUUGAACGCUAGCGGGAUGCCUUACACAUGCAAGUCGAACGAGUGGCGAACGGGUGUGUAAUGUUUGGGAAACUGCCUGAUGGAGGGGGAUAACUACUGGAAAUGGUAGCUAAUACCUCAUACCAUCAGUAGCGCCCAGACGGGAUUAGCUAGUAGGUGGGGUAACGGCUCACCUAGACGACGAUCCCUACCUGGUUUGAGAGGAUGACCAGCCACACUGGAACUGAGACACGGUCCAGACUCCUACGGGAGGCAGCAGUGGGGAAUAUUGCACAAUGGGCGCAAGCCUGAUGCAGCCAUGCCGCGUGUGUGAAGAAGGCCUUCGGGUUGUAAAGCACUUUCAGCGAGGAGGCGUUACCCGCAGAAGAAGCACCGGCUAACUCCGUGCCAGCAGCCGCGGUAAUAC